CCUACGGGAGGCAGCAGUGGGGAAUAUUGGGCAAUGGGCGCAAGCCUGACCCAGCAACGCCGCGUGAAGGAAGAAGGCUUUCGGGUUGUAAACUUCUUUUCUGAGGGACGAAGAAAGUGACGGUACCUCAGGAAUAAGCCACGGCUAACUACGUGCCAGCGUCCGCGGUAAUACGUAGGUGGCAAGCGUUAUCCGGAUGUAUUGGGUGUAAAGGGCGUGUAGGCGGGAAAGCAAGUCAGAUGUGAAAACUCAGGGCUCAAACCUGAGCCUGCAUUUGAAAAUGUUUUUCUUGAGUGCUGGAGAGGCAAUCGGAAUUCCGUGUGUAGCUGUGAAAUGCGUAGAUAUACGGAGGAACACCAGUGGCGAAGGCGGAUUGCUGGACAGUAACUGACGCUGAGGCGCGAAAGCGUGGGGAGCAAACAGGAUUAGAUACCCGAGUAGUC
Molecule: ribosomal RNA, 443 nt
Filed under: uncultured bacterium
Lineage: Bacteria
Description: partial 16S ribosomal RNA
Rfam family: Bacterial small subunit ribosomal RNA
Source: RNAcentral